GAUGAACGCUAGCGGCAGGCUUAACACAUGCAAGUCGAGGGGUAACAUUGUAGCUUGCUACAGAUGACGACCGGCGCACGGGUGCGUAACGCGUAUGAAACCUACCUAAUACAGGGAGAUAGCCCAGAGAAAUUUGGAUUAAUAUCCCAUGGUACUGUUGGAUCGCAUGAUUCAAUAGUUAAAGAUUUAUCGGUAUUAGAUGGUCAUGCGUUCUAUUAGUUAGUUGGUAAGGUAACGGCUUACCAAGGCAGCGAUAGAUAGGGGCCCUGAGAGGGGGAUCCCCCACACUGGUACUGAGACACGGACCAG
Molecule: ribosomal RNA, 309 nt
Filed under: uncultured Kordia sp.
Lineage: Bacteria; Pseudomonadati; Bacteroidota; Flavobacteriia; Flavobacteriales; Flavobacteriaceae
Description: bacterial SSU rRNA
Rfam family: Bacterial small subunit ribosomal RNA
Source: RNAcentral